Molecule: non-coding RNA, 3987 nt
Organism: Cricetulus griseus (Chinese hamster)
Lineage: Eukaryota; Metazoa; Chordata; Mammalia; Rodentia; Cricetidae
Source: RefSeq, a predicted model, not a curated record
CAGAGAGGGCACACAUUGUGUGCACAUGUGUGUAAAACAUUGCAUGCUAUAAGCCAUUCAAGCUGAUCUGUUUGUGAAAUGUUAAUUAUAUAAACAUGGAGCUGGUGCAGCCUUGAGGCUACUGAAUAGCAAACAGUGGGCCAGAUGUUGGGCAGGAAGCUGCUACACCACUGGUGCUCUCUCAGGCCCAAGGGGUGGAGUUUCUGCUGGCCAGGGCCCUCUCUCUGCUUGUGGAUCAGGUAGCGGGUUAAUUCCUGCUGCAGCCUGGGGAGCUGUACCUGGACCCUAUCCCAACUAGGCCUGGGGCUGGACCAGGGGCAGGCUGCCUCACUUGGGGACCAGUACACUGAGUACAAGGAGGGAGGUGCAAGUGGCCGCUUUGGGGUGUGAUGGGGUACACAGACUUCCUUACAGUUCUUACUGCUACUUGAAGCCUGUGUGGUCCUCCAUUGUCUGGCUCCUUCCAGUCUCACUGUUGGGUUAGAAGUGUUUGUGCCCUCAUGAGAUGGAGCAGAAGUAAUACGUGCCUGUCUCUCGCCUGAGAGGGACACCCAUGCUGUGGUGGGUGUGGCUCAUGGGCCACACAGCGGCACCCUGGCGUGCUGGAGACAAGAGCUCCAGGAAGAAGCUUCAGUAGGUCAUGUGCGGGACAGCAGUGUAUCUUGGGAGCGUCAGCAGUUUGUGAACGCAGGGCGUUAUGGGCUGUGAAACUGUAUAUUCCACUGAACCUGGGGCAGACUGUUCUCUGAAUUUUCUUCGACAAUGUUGAUCAUCUUUGAAACAGGAAAAACCGAAGCAAAAAGAUGCAAAAACCUAAGGGGGAGAGAUUGCCCUGAAUACUUGAUUUAGUGCUGAGUAAUAGCUUGCUUAGCCAGCUGACCCAUGCUUAGACUACUCAUCAACAUUUGAGACUGAGGACAGUGUGUGGCCAGAGGGGCCAGGUGGCUGACGUAUCAGUUCAUUAGCAAGGCCAGGCAGAAAAUGGGUGCCUCUCCCCAAGCUCCCAGUACCCUUCAGGUUUACGUAAGUUAUUUAUGGUGGGACAGAGUUAUAAAGCCUCACUUCUAACCCCAAAUGCUCAAACGUCCCUGGAACUGAGCCCUGGCACCUAACUGGAAAACUGGCACCUGAAUUGCAGCUCUGGGCAAGAGUGCGUGUGUAAGAGUGCGCACGUAGACUGAAUGCAGACAUUCGAGUCGAUGACAGACAGAAGAUGAGGCAGAUCCCCCAAGUGAUGUCACAUCCAAGACAAAAGAUGGGCAAGAGGACCAUGGGCUCAUUCCUGACUGGGGUGCUGGCUGGACCCGAAAACCAGGGAUGCCUGGGCUUCAGGGACUCAUGGAGUUUGGCCUAGGAGGCCGGACUGGACCCUUUGUGCGAGCUCCCUGAAGCCUGCUUGAGAAGGUGGCAAAGAGGUGGGACCAGGUUACAAGGAGGAGGACCCUGCCUGGCACAAUAGCAUGGGUGGCUGCCCACCCCCUCAGAACACCAGCCUCUGCAAACUUCAUCUUUAUCUGCAUCCAUUAAACUGUGUCUUUGGCAGUGGAGCAGCUCCGUCUGGUGACAGGACCUGUCGGUGAGCCUCUGGCGGCUCUUUCCCACUGUGGACAGCUUAAUGCUACAGGAUGAACAGCGGUAACCUCUGUUGGAGAUGGUUUACCUUCUCGCUGUUCUCAGGGAUGGACAAAUGACUGAGGGGGCUUUUCAACAAGGAGCACAAUGUUUUUUCUCUUGACUUCUCUGGUAUCCUCUCCUCGCUGACACAGAGUUAGGCAGGCAAGUCCAUGCCCGGACAAGAGGCCUGGAAGAACGCUAAGAAACAGACUUAGGUCUGAAACGGGGAUGCCAGUCUGAUUCCAGAGCAGCUUAGUGUGAGCUCUCACACACAUGGCGACUUCCAAGACGAAGGACACUGCAGCUGGCUGGAGCCACUAUUAUUUUAUUAUUAUCAUCAUUUAAACGCGAGUGUGUGUUCGAGCUCCCGUUGAGUUUCUGCACAUCACAUGCAUUCAGGAGCCUGCAGAGACCAGAAGAGGCUUUGGAUUCCCCGGCAACCAAAUCACUGGCUUUGGGCUCUGUCUCCUGUCCUGGAUUAUCCCACUAGACACCAAGGUCUGGGUGCUGCAUGCUGACCUCCCCACUGGCUGUCGAGUGAACGAGAGAGCUACUGGCCAUCUGUGUCUCUGCUAAGCUCAGCACAUGUGGGCUUGAUGUCUCCAGUUCCGGGCUACUCCAUACAGACAUUUCAGCCUCUUCCUUUGCUCACUUGGAACGCUCACACCAGCAGCGAAGACCUUGGUACCCACCAUCUGCCCUCUGUCCUGCUAACUCCAAAUUCCAGCAGGAGCUUCCUGUAGGAUGAAAUGUUUCGAUCUUGAAGGAUGCUUUUACAAAACAACAUGGAAGACUGGGAAGUCUGACGACUGGGCGGGGAUGGAUUCCAGCAGCCACUCCUGGACCCUGUCACCCAUGGGCGAUGUUACAGAGGAGACAGAGUGCUUGAGGAAGAUCCCCAGGACAUGAAGCUGUCGGCUUCUGAUAAUUAAAGGGACUUCAUGGUUUGGUCAAGGGCCCCAUCUGGCACGGUGGCAGGAGGAAUCCUAGCAUUUUAAGGUUUCUCAAAGGAGCAAGCCGACAACAGGACAAGCUAAAGCGCUUGCUAUGUCCCAUCAGGAACAAGUUUUAAUGGUGAAAAGUGAGAUGCUCCAGCAUCUGUGGGACUGUGGGAUGCACCGGUGUCCCCUGUUCAGCUGUGGGGUCAUGCAGACAGCGUGGGGCGGGGGGCAUUGGGAAUGGAGAGGUGGAGUCAGGCUGGAGAGUGUUCGGGCCUUGCUUUUGCAUGCUGUGUGACCCUGGGCAAAUAAAUCAACAAACAUUCUGUACACCCCAGAUGCCUCACUUGUAAGGGGUCCACGAAGAGAGGGAAGCAGGGGCUCUGUAGACAUCUGAGCUGAGAUAGGAAAUACUCUCAAGGCACACUGUAGCUGAAAGUCCUCCAAAGCUCACACCACAUUUGAUCGCCAGGGAGACAGGGACGUAUCACCUCAUAGAGACAUGCUGGUGUCUGGUUUUCUCUUGUGGGCUCCUGACAGAACACAGAUUAGGAUAACCCCUGCUCUAGCUCCCCAGGGGUCAGUGCUUGACUCACUGGGCAUGCUCUUCUGCUGUGGACUUACAGCUUCAGGACUCGCUUCUGACUGUCGAUUUGCCAGCCACAGGACAUCACGGCAGUCAUGGAAGACAGGCUGGCCAUCAUUUCAUCCUCUAGAGCGGGGGAGACGACGUGGGAAGAAGGCCCUGGCUGCAUGUGAUGCCAGGGCUCUGGAUGUGGAAUCCAUGUGUUUGGACUCCAGGAUUCAGAACCCACAGGGAGCUUUUUGCAGGGCCCCGAGUGCUGGGGAGUUGGAGCCGUUCUACUGUACCCCUGCUCUUGGGCUCUGCCCCCUGCCAGGGCUGUGAUGAGCAUUGCUGGAGCACCUUCCUGAUGGGAGCAGAGGCACACAAGGAAGGACACGAGCAGCCAUGGAGCUCAGAGCAUCCCCGGCUCCCCUCUUGGUGCUCUGCAGCUGAGACACAGAGUCCCCUUUGGGUGCAUGCGGGGCUGGGUGGGGGCUGGGUGAGUGGGGCCCUGGGCUCUCCUGGGUCCCUCUUCGAUCUGAAAUGUACAGCUAUGAAACCAAGGCCAGAGCAGAGAUGGCUUGGUCCCUUGUCAGCUCACCUGCAUCUCUCUCUGUCCCGUUCUCUUUCUGCUUAGGGAGAUGCCUACUGAACUCCCCCGCUGUCUGUGGUGGCCUGUGGUAGAUCGGAAUGUGGCAGAGGCUGCAGGGCUGAGCCAUCACACACGGCACUGACACUCUCUGGGCUGGGAUCCGGGCCCCUUUUGUUUCUCUAGUUUGUAUGGGCUCAUUCCUGGCUUGUAGGUCAGAAGCCCGUGCAGCCGCAAGAGGCAACCGGUGCUUCCUGCUCCUGAACACCUUUAGAAGCAUC